Molecule: unclassified non-coding RNA, 382 nt
Filed under: Mortierella sp.
Lineage: Eukaryota; Fungi; Mortierellomycota; Mortierellomycetes; Mortierellales; Mortierellaceae
Description: partial contains 5.8S ribosomal RNA, internal transcribed spacer 2, and large subunit ribosomal RNA
Rfam family: 5.8S ribosomal RNA (bases 1-71)
Source: RNAcentral
GUGAGUCAUCGAAUCUUUGAACGCAUAUUGCGCUCUUUGGUAUUCCGAAGAGCAUGCUUGUUUGAGUAUCAGUAAACACCUCAAAGCUUUUGAUUUCUUUUUGAAAGCUUUGGACUUGAGCAAUCCCAACACCAAUCUUUUUCAGAUCGGCGGCGGGUUGCUUGAAAUGCAGGUGCAGCUGGACAUUCUCCUGAGCUAAAAGCAUAUUCAUUUAGUCCCGUCAAACGGAUUAUUACUUUUGCUGCAGCUAACAUAAAGGGAGUUUGACCGUAUUGGCUGACUGAUGCAGGAUUUUACAAGGGUCGGCAACGAUUCUUGUUAAACUCGAUCUCAAAUCAAGUAAGACUACCCGCUGAACUUAAGCAUAUCAAUAAGCGGAGGA